This 235-nucleotide ribosomal RNA is filed under the name uncultured bacterium. RNAcentral's name for it is "partial 16S ribosomal RNA". It matches the Rfam family "Bacterial small subunit ribosomal RNA", at positions 57 to 305 of the family's 1533-position model. The record is from RNAcentral.
GCAAGUCGAGCGCCCUUAGCCUUUUGGCGGGGAGCGGCGAACGGGUGAGUAACACGUGGAUAACGUACCUUUGGAGGGGGAUAACUCGGGGAAACUCGGGCUAAUACCGCGUAUGGCCUACGGGUCAAAGCCUUUUAGGUGCCAAGAGAUCGGUCCGCGUCCCAUUAGUUAGUCCUAGUUGGUGGGGUAACGGCCCACCAAGGGUACGAUGGGUAGCUGGUCUGAGAGGACAAUC